CACGUAGGCGGGUAUUUAAGUCAGGGGUGAAAUCCCGGAGCUCAACUCCGGAACUGCCUUUGAUACUGGGUACCUAGAGUAUGGAAGAGGUAAGUGGAAUUCCGAGUGUAGAGGUGAAAUUCGUAGAUAUUCGGAGGAACACCAGUGGCGAAGGCGGCUUACUGGUCCAUUACUGACGCUGAGGUGCGAAAGCGUGGGGAGCAAACA
Molecule: ribosomal RNA, 207 nt
Filed under: uncultured bacterium
Lineage: Bacteria
Description: partial 16S ribosomal RNA
Rfam family: Bacterial small subunit ribosomal RNA
Source: RNAcentral